RNAcentral lists this ribosomal RNA (637 nucleotides) under uncultured bacterium. RNAcentral describes it as "bacterial SSU rRNA". It matches the Rfam family "Bacterial small subunit ribosomal RNA", at positions 232 to 878 of the family's 1533-position model. The record is from RNAcentral.
CGCGGCCUAUCAGCUUGUUGGCGGGGUAACGGCCCACCAAGGCGUCGACGGGUAGCUGGUCUGAGAGGACGAUCAGCCACACUGGGACUGAGACACGGCCCAGACUCCUACGGGAGGCAGCAGUGGGGAAUAUUGCGCAAUGGGCGGAAGCCUGACGCAGCAACGCCGCGUGCGGGAUGAAGGCCUUCGGGUUGUAAACCGCUUUCAGCAGGGACGAAGCAACACGUGACGGUACCUGCAGAAGAAGCACCGGCCAACUACGUGCCAGCAGCCGCGGUGAUACGUAGGGUGCGAACGUUGUCCGGAAUUAUUGGGCGUAAAGAGCUUGUAGGCGGUCUGUCGCGUCGAAAGUGAAAACUCAGGGCUCAACCCUGAGCCUGCUCUCGAUACGGGCAGACUAGAGGGAUGUAGGGGAGAACGGAAUUCUUGGUGGAGCGGUGGAAUGCGCAGAUAUCAGGAGGAACACCGGUGGCGAAGGCGGUUCUCUGGACAUUUCCUGACGCUGAGAAGCGAAAGCGUGGGUAGCAAACAGGCUUAGAUACCCUGGUAGUCCACGCCGUAAACGGUGGGUACUAGGUGUGGGGGACAUUCCACGUUCUCCGUGCCGUAGCUAACGCAUUAAGUACCCCGCCUGGGG